This 447-nucleotide ribosomal RNA is filed under the name Vertigo alpestris. RNAcentral describes it as "partial 16S ribosomal RNA". The record is from RNAcentral. Lineage: Eukaryota; Metazoa; Mollusca; Gastropoda; Stylommatophora; Vertiginidae.
UAGCUUUAAGAUUUUUCAUUUAAAGUUUUACCUGCCCGGUGGAAUUUCUUAACGGCCGCAGUACUUUGACUGUGCUAAGGUAGCAUAAUAAAUUGGCUUUUAAUUAAAGUCGGGUAUGAAAGGGAAUUUGGAAAAUAACUGUCUCAAAUAUACUUUAUUUUAAUUUAAUUAAUGAGUGAAAAUUCUCAUAUUUUAUUACAUUAGACGAGAAGACCCUAAGAGUUAUAAUUAAAAUGAAUUUAUUUCAUAUAUCAUUUUUGUUGGGGCAACAAAGACUGGAUAGAACCGUCAAAAAGUAAUUUUACAUAACCAAUAAUAUUUAAAAAGAAAUAAACUACCUUAGGGAUAACAGCAUAAUUAAUUUUUAGAUUGUGACCUCGAUGUUGGAUUAAGGACUUAGUUUACUAGCCGUAAACUAAGAUAGUUCUGUUCGAACUGUAGUACCUU